GAGGGCAGGUACUCUCCACACCCGCACCACGGGACGAAGCUGAUAAUUCCUUUUCUGUAAAUGAAAGUGAAAGGGAUUUAAAGCCAGAUUCACCAAGAAACACGAAUAAGAUUCUGGAAUAAUACAAAGGCAUUUGCAUUGCAAGAGACCUCAGCAAGAAACAUCUGCUCUGGAUCAGCAACAAAAUGGAGGAACCUGCUUCGGAAAUGAGCCCCUCUGUGAAGCGUAAAACAAAGGGGACUGAGAGUGUCCUGAUGGAGAGAGCAGACUCCCCUGUACCCAGCUGUGUUUCCAUGAAGAGUGACGGAUCAAUGGAUAAACUACUCACCUUCAGAGAGGGACCUUUUCCUACAGACCACAGAGACCAAAUGGAUGAAUGCAGAGCAGAUCUACAGGAUAAACCGGGUUCAUCAUCCAUAUUGAAG
Molecule: long non-coding RNA, 425 nt
Organism: Brienomyrus brachyistius
Lineage: Eukaryota; Metazoa; Chordata; Actinopteri; Osteoglossiformes; Mormyridae
Exons: 4
Source: RefSeq, a predicted model, not a curated record